AUGCAUGUAGAAGACGAGCAGACUGUGGCCAUAAAUGUGGCCAUAAAUGGGUAUACCCAUUUAUGGCCACAGUCUGCUCGUCUUCUACAUGCAU
This 94-nucleotide small RNA is filed under the name Pelobates cultripes (western spadefoot toad). Lineage: Eukaryota; Metazoa; Chordata; Amphibia; Anura; Pelobatidae. The record is from RNAcentral.